Molecule: ribosomal RNA, 282 nt
Filed under: Chitinophaga polysaccharea
Lineage: Bacteria; Pseudomonadati; Bacteroidota; Chitinophagia; Chitinophagales; Chitinophagaceae
Description: partial 23S ribosomal RNA
Rfam family: Bacterial large subunit ribosomal RNA
Source: RNAcentral
GAAAUAGUUCCUGAAACCGUGCGCUUACAAGCGGUCGGAGCCCGCAAGGGUGACGGCGUGCCUUUUGCAUAAUGAGCCUACGAGUUACUCCUCACUGGCAAGGUUAAGGUCUUCAGUACCGGAGCCGCAGCGAAAGCAAGUUCUAACAGAGCGAAUUAGUCAGUGGGGGUAGACGCGAAACUUUGUGAUCUAUCCAUGGGCAGGGUGAAGGUUAGGUAAAACUAACUGGAGGCCCGAACUCAUUAGCGUUGAAAAGCUAUGGGAUGACCUGUGGAUAGGGGU